RNAcentral lists this ribosomal RNA (466 nucleotides) under uncultured bacterium. Its description in RNAcentral is "partial 16S ribosomal RNA". It matches the Rfam family "Bacterial small subunit ribosomal RNA", at positions 28 to 507 of the family's 1533-position model. The record is from RNAcentral.
GAUGAACGCUGGCGGCGUGCUUAACACAUGCAAGUCGAACGGUGAAGCCAAGCUUGCUUGGUGGUUCAGUGGCGAACGGGCGAGUAACACGUGAGCAACCUGCCCUGUACUCUGGGAUAAGCGCUGGAAACGGCGUCCAAUACCGGAUAUGAGCUUCUUCCGCAUGGUGGGGGCUGGAAAGAUUUUGUGGUCUUGGAUGGGCUCGCGGCCUAUCAGCUUGUUGGUGGGGGAGUGGCUCACCAAGGCGUCGACGGGUAGCCGGCCUGAGAGGGUGACCGGCCACACUAGGACUGAGAGAGGGAGCAGACUGCAACGGGAGGCAGCGGUGGGGAAUAUUACACAGUGAGAGCAAGCCUGAUGCAGCAGCGCCGCGGGAGGGAAGACGGCCUUCGGGUUGUAAACCGCUUUUGGCAGAGAAGAAGCGAAAGUGACGGUACCUGAAGAAAAAGCGCCGGCUAACUACGUG